Oncorhynchus keta (chum salmon) is the source of this 237-nucleotide long non-coding RNA. RefSeq lists it as uncharacterized. The record is from RefSeq and is a predicted model, not a curated record. The transcript is spliced from 3 exons. NCBI's taxonomy places the organism in Eukaryota, Metazoa, Chordata, Actinopteri, Salmoniformes, Salmonidae.
GUAUAUAGUAUAUAGAGAGGUAGGUAGUAUAUAGAGAGCGGUAGGUAGUAUAUAGAGAGAGGUAGGUAGUAUAUAGUAUAUAGAGAGGUAGGUAGUAUAUAGAGAGCGGUAGGUAGUAUAUAGAGAGAGGUAGGUAGUAUAUAGUAUAUAGAGAGGUAGGUAGUAUAUAGAGAGCGGUAGGUAGUAUAUAGAGAGAGGUAGGUAGUAUAUAGUAUAUAGAGAGGUAGGUAGUAUAUA